AUUGAACGCUGGCGGCAGGCCUAACACAUGCAAGUCGAACGGUAACAGGAAACAGCUUGCUGUUUCGCUGACGAGUGGCGGACGGGUGAGUAAUGUCUGGGAAACUGCCUGAUGGAGGGGGAUAACUACUGGAAACGGUAGCUAAUACCGCAUAACGUCGCAAGACCAAAGAGGGGGACCUUCGGGCCUCUUGCCAUCGGAUGUGCCCAGAUGGGAUUAGCUAGUAGGUGGGGUAACGGCUCACCUAGGCGACGAUCCCUAGCUGGUCUGAGAGGAUGACCAGCCACACUGGAAAUGAGACACGGUCCAGACUCCCACGGGAGGCAGCAGUGGGGAAUAUUGCACAAUGGGCGCAAGCCUGAUGCAGCCAUGCCGCGUGUAUGAAGAAGGCCUUCGGGUUGUAAAGUACUUUCAGCGGGGAGGAAGGGAGUAAAGUUAAUACCUUUACUCAUUGACGUUACCCGCAGAAGAAGCACCGGCGAACUCCGU
This 489-nucleotide ribosomal RNA is filed under the name uncultured bacterium. RNAcentral describes it as "partial 16S ribosomal RNA". It matches the Rfam family "Bacterial small subunit ribosomal RNA", at positions 30 to 506 of the family's 1533-position model. The record is from RNAcentral.